Mycena polygramma is the source of this 88-nucleotide non-coding RNA. The record is from the annotation of a GenBank genome assembly. NCBI's taxonomy places the organism in Eukaryota, Fungi, Basidiomycota, Agaricomycetes, Agaricales, Mycenaceae.
GUCCCGUGGCGCAAGGUGCGCACCCUCUUCCGGUCCUUGGACAAUAAUCGUUUCGGAGGGUACCCAGGUUCGAUUCCUGGAUGGGGCG